GAUGAACGCUGGCGGCGUGCCUAAUACAUGCAAGUCGAGCGAACGGACGAGAAGCUUGCUUCUCUGAUGUUAGCGGCGGACGGGUGAGUAACACGUGGAUAACCUACCUAUAAGACUGGGAUAACUUCGGGAAACCGGAGCUAAUACCGGAUAAUAUUUGAACCGCAUGGUUCAAAAGUGAAAGACGGUCUUGCUGUCACUCAUAGGUGGAUCCGCGCUGCAUUAGCUAGUUGGUAAGGUAACGGCUUACCAAGGCAACGAUGCAUAGCCGACCUGAGAGGGUGAUCGGCCACACUGGAACUGAGACACGGUCCAGACUCCUACGGGAGGCAGCAGUAGGGAAUCUUCCGCAAUGGGCGAAAGCCUGACGGAGCAACGCCGCGUGAGUGAUGAAGGUCUUCGGAUCGUAAAACUCUGUUAUUAGGGAAGAACAUAUGUGUAAGUAACUGUGCACAUCUUGACGGUACCUAAUCAGAAAGCCACGGCUAACUACGUGCCAGCAGCCGCGGUAAUACGUAGGUGGCAAGCGUUAUCCGGAAUUAUUGGGCGUAAAGCGCGCGUAGGCGGUUUUUUAAGUCUGAUGUGAAAGCCCACGGCUCAACCGUGGAGGGUCAUUGGAAACUGGAAAACUUGAGUGCAGAAGAGGAAAGUGGAAUUCCAUGUGUAGCGGUGAAAUGCGCAGAGAUAUGGAGGAACACCAGUGGCGAAGGCGACUUUCUGGUCUGUAACUGACGCUGAUGUGCGAAAGCGUGGGGAUCGAACAGGAUUAGAUACCCUGGUAGUCCACGCCGUAAACGAUGAGUGCUAAGUGUUAGGGGGUUUCCGCCCCUUAGUGCUGCAGCUAACGCAUUAAGCACUCCGCCUGGGGAGUACGACCGCAAGGUUGAAACUCAAAGGAAUUGACGGGGACCCGCACAAGCGGUGGAGCAUGUGGUUUAAUUCGAAGCAACGCGAAGAACCUUACCAAAUCUUGACAUCCUUUGACAACUCUAGAGAUAGAGCCUUCCCCUUCGGGGGACAAAGUGACAGGUGGUGCAUGGUUGUCGUCAGCUCGUGUCGUGAGAUGUUGGGUUAAGUCCCGCAACGAGCGCAACCCUUAAGCUUAGUUGCCAUCAUUAAGUUGGGCACUCUAAGUUGACUGCCGGUGACAAACCGGAGGAAGGUGGGGAUGACGUCAAAUCAUCAUGCCCCUUAUGAUUUGGGCUACACACGUGCUACAAUGGACAAUACAAAGGGCAGCGAAACCGCGAGGUCAAGCAAAUCCCAUAAAGUUGUUCUCAGUUCGGAUUGUAGUCUGCAACUCGACUACAUGAAGCUGGAAUCGCUAGUAAUCGUAGAUCAGCAUGCUACGGUGAAUACGUUCCCGGGUCU
RNAcentral lists this ribosomal RNA (1371 nucleotides) under uncultured bacterium. RNAcentral's name for it is "bacterial SSU rRNA". It matches the Rfam family "Bacterial small subunit ribosomal RNA", at positions 28 to 1381 of the family's 1533-position model. The record is from RNAcentral.